GUACGGGCAGGGGUACCUUUACCUUUACUACAUAUAUAUAUAUAUAUAUAUAUAUAUAUAUAUAUAUAUAUAUGUGUGUGUGUGUGUGUAUGUAUGUGUAUAUAUGUGUGUGUGUGUAUAUAUAUAUAUGUGUGUGUGUGUGUGUGUGUAUGUAUGUACACACACACACACACACAAACACACAGGGGAAUACCUGAAAAGGUCUCUCACUGCCCU
Podarcis lilfordi (Lilford's wall lizard) is the source of this 216-nucleotide non-coding RNA. The record is from the annotation of a GenBank genome assembly. NCBI's taxonomy places the organism in Eukaryota, Metazoa, Chordata, Lepidosauria, Squamata, Lacertidae.